CCGGAAAUGUGAAAAUGAAAUGAGUAUUUAAACACAUAAAAUGCGGAAGCGAGAUCAAAAUUUCAGUUAACAUCCCUUACACGAAAACAAAAAACGUACUUAAAAUAUAAAAGAUUAAACUAACUAAAAGAGAAACUCGAAAAUAAAACUAUGAGUAUGACUACAGAGUCUCUAGGCAUCCCCUUCGUCGUCCUCCUGCGAAACGGGCUCGGGAACCAUGUCUUCCUGAUAUGAAAUGGUUAAAUAAGGAGUGAGCUACACUAGCCCAGUAAGAACAUCACGAUAUCUCACCGUCACGGAGGUAAAUGUGGGAAGAAAAAACACAAAAGACCAAUGGAGCAUGAUUUACAACAAAUCCUUUUAUUUAUGAUAAAACCUUUACCAUCCACUUACCUCGGUGGAAUUCAUGAAAACAAUAUAAGAAAACAAUAACAUUAUCACAAUCAUGGAAUAAUAUAAGCUGUAAAACAUAGCACUUAUCACGCCUUUUGUAAUUCAAUCAUUAUACCACAUAUCCUUUUCUCAUUUACCAGCCUACACUAUCCAUGGGGGUCCCUAAGGGGUCCCGCUACCCGUUAACCUUUAACAUUCAUAAUCAGUUUCCAGGGCCGUCCCCAUACCCCGUCCGGUAUGAGGGUGAAACGGGCCGUCCCCAUACCCCGUCCGGUAUGGGCACCAAAACCAUAAGAUCUCCAUACCCCGUCCGGCAUGUGAGACCACAAUCCCGGUAGGGUUCCCUACGGACCCGGUCCGUCCACCAUCUCCCAGGAUAUCUAGUCAGGCUGACCCCAUCAUACAAUUAUCAGUCUACACAAUCUUUCAUUUUCCUUUUCCUCAAUAAGCAUCAUCAAUUCACAUUUAAACAAGCAAAUCGUAAUUCAUGUCAAACAGACAACAUACAGUAUCAGUUCUUCAGUCUUUCAACCCAUAAUUAAUAAAACAGUAAUAUAUGCACUCGAAACUAUAAAAUGAACACAUCAAACCUCAUAAUGCAUUUAAAGCUGUAAAACAGGCCAAAUAACAGUAAAUCAUCAAUCACACUAGACUCGGGCUCCAUUAGCAAACUUAAGCAAUUUCACACAUGCGUUAAUUCAAGAAAUACCGUUUUAUCAUUUUGAACUUUAAUACCGUGAUAGGAAAUAGGGUGAGGGGUCCUUACUUGUUUUCGGGAUCCGAAUACGAUUCACAGUGCGCCUACAGGCCGUCCC
This 1208-nucleotide long non-coding RNA is filed under the name Carica papaya (papaya). RNAcentral describes it as "long non-coding RNA (CPAP_LNC016166)". The record is from RNAcentral. Lineage: Eukaryota; Viridiplantae; Streptophyta; Magnoliopsida; Brassicales; Caricaceae.